Molecule: long non-coding RNA, 667 nt
Filed under: Mustela putorius furo (domestic ferret)
Lineage: Eukaryota; Metazoa; Chordata; Mammalia; Carnivora; Mustelidae
Description: lncRNA (ENSMPUG00000028939.1)
Source: RNAcentral
CUCUCCGCAGUUCGUCUUUCAGGCAGGAUCAUCAAGGUUGCCUGGCAACCACCAGCAGGUUGGCCUCGCACAUGGUUUCCUUAAAGAAAAUGGCAGAGCUCUCUCUCCUGUCACAGUGCAAGCAAGGCCUAAUUAUUGUGAACUGGGAAUCAAUCACGGAGGGCUUGGGAGCCAUGGUGUGGGAUGGUAAAAGGGUGUGAAAAGCUCAGAGGAGGGCCUGGAAUGGGCACUUGGGUGCCGGCGUGAAAAGAGCCACCAUUUCCUAAUUUUACCUCUUGCUGCCUGCGGGAUGGAACCCAGGGCAGGCUUAGCAAGGGGGCACUCCUUUGGCUCGAGUCUGAACUAUGGCUGAUGGAAUGGGCCACCUUUCAUCUGGAGAAGUAUCAUUUCAAGGACCAGAGACAUGGACGUCUUUAAAUAUUUGUCUCCAUUCCUGAGUGGACGCAGGUGGCUCCGCGUGUGGGCUCGGAGUCUCCCCUCCCUGUACCUUGAGUUCGGAGAACUGGCCAUCCUCCAGGCUCCGUCAGCCAAUGGUGGGCAUGUUGUGGACAUCCUCUUCACACACGGUGGGCAUUUCAGCCCAAGGUCUCCUGAAUCCAUGGGUAAGGUUGGAGCCAUAGCGGCUGUGGCCGUGGUUGCUGCUGGGGGCGAUGAACACGGAGUGAGG